GAGGAAGAGGGAUCAAUAAGGGAGGACAAUCCAACUCAAAUUAAUGGAGAAGGGGAGAUAGAUUUUUCAAAUUCACUCUUGGUUAUAUAUAUAGAUCCAGAACCUUUAUAGGUUGACAAUAGCACACAUGAGAAAGAUUUAGCUGCACAUGCCACACAAUGGAUCCAAGCGAACAUGAUAAAAUUAGGUCAACAAUUUGGUGUCGAUGUUAAAG
RNAcentral lists this unclassified non-coding RNA (214 nucleotides) under Hevea brasiliensis (rubber tree). The record is from RNAcentral. Lineage: Eukaryota; Viridiplantae; Streptophyta; Magnoliopsida; Malpighiales; Euphorbiaceae.